GAUGAACGCUGGCGGCGUGCCUAAUACAUGCAAGUCGAGCGAACAGACGAGGAGCUUGCUCCUCUGACGUUAGCGGCGGACGGGUGAGUAACACGUGGAUAACCUACCUAUAAGACUGGGAUAACUUCGGGAAACCGGAGCUAAUACCGGAUAAUAUAUUGAACCGCAUGGUUCAAUAGUGAAAGACGGUUUUGCUGUCACUUAUAGAUGGAUCCGCGCCGCAUUAGCUAGUUGGUAAGGUAACGGCUUACCAAGGCAACGAUGCGUAGCCGACCUGAGAGGGUGAUCGGCCACACUGGAACUGAGACACGGUCCAGACUCCUACGGGAGGCAGCAGCAGGGAAUCUUCCGCAAUGGGCGAAAGCUUGACGGAGCAACGCCGCGUGAGUGAUGAAGGUCUUCGGACCGUAAAACUCUGUUAUUAGGGAAGAACAAAUGUGUAAGUAACUAUGCACGUCUUGACGGUACCUAAUCAGAAAGCUACGGCUAACUACGUG
This 497-nucleotide ribosomal RNA is filed under the name uncultured bacterium. Its description in RNAcentral is "partial 16S ribosomal RNA". It matches the Rfam family "Bacterial small subunit ribosomal RNA", at positions 28 to 507 of the family's 1533-position model. The record is from RNAcentral.